AGCUACUUCGCCUAACAUCGUAGUAGCUUCGACUUCCAAAAAUGCUGUAGCUACUUCGCCUAACAUCGCAGCAGCUUGGACUUCGAAAAAUUCCGUGGCUACGUCGCCUGAAGUCACAGUAGCUUCGACUAGUAUUCCUGCCAAUCUUGCUACACAUGAAAACAUAAAUCCACAAUACAGGCCAAGGGGAACUCGGGCGGGUGUCUAACGACAAGAGGAGCACUUUAUGCGCUUCCUGUACAGGUUGUCCUCCCCACAUUAUUUUUGGGGCAGAAGAGGUGCAUACAUGAGAGGUGCGACAAAAAAAGAAGAUAACUGAAUCAGCGAACAAGUCAAACUUAACAUUGGAAGAACGAAGCAUAAUGGAUUAUAUAAAAAAACUUUAUUUGCUACAUAC
Molecule: long non-coding RNA, 397 nt
Organism: Ooceraea biroi (clonal raider ant)
Lineage: Eukaryota; Metazoa; Arthropoda; Insecta; Hymenoptera; Formicidae
Source: RefSeq, a predicted model, not a curated record